Molecule: ribosomal RNA, 885 nt
Filed under: uncultured Bacteroidota bacterium
Lineage: Bacteria; Pseudomonadati; Bacteroidota
Description: bacterial SSU rRNA
Rfam family: Bacterial small subunit ribosomal RNA
Source: RNAcentral
GCUAGCGGCAGGCUUAACACAUGCAAGUCGAGGGGCAGCGCGGGGCAGCAAUGUUCUGGCGGCGACCGGCGGAAGGGUGCGUAACGCGUGAGCGACAUGCCCGUUGCCCGGGGACAACCGGUGGAAACGCCGACUAAUCCCCGAUGGGACGGAGGCCCUCAUGGGUCUCCGUUGAAAGUUACGGCGGCGACGGAUUGGCUCGCGUCCGAUUAGCUUGUUGGCGGGGUAACGGCCCACCAAGGCUACGAUCGGUAGGGGUUCUGAGAGGAAGGUCCCCCACAAUGGAACUGAGACACGGUCCAUACUCCUACGGGAGGCAGCAGUGAGGAAUAUUGGUCAAUGGGCGGAAGCCUGAACCAGCCAUGCCGCGUGCGGGAAGGAGGCCCUAUGGGCUGUGAACCGCUUUUGCCUGGGGGCAAUAAGGGCGUCGUGCACGUCCGAUGAGAGUACCAGGCGAAUAAGCAUCGGCUAACUCCGUGCCAGCAGCCGCGGUAAUACGGGGGAUGCGAGCGUUAUCCGGAUUCAUUGGGUUUAAAGGGUGCGUAGGCUGUGCGUCAAGUCAGGGGUGAAAUUCCGGGGCUCAACUCCGGGGCUGCCCUUGAUACUGUCGCGCUGGAGUGCGGAUGCCGCCGGAGGAAUGAGUGGUGUAGCGGUGAAAUGCUUAGAUAUCACUCAGAACACCGAUUGCGAAGGCAUCUGGCGAAUCCGUAACUGACGCUGAGGCACGAAAGCGUGGGGAUAGAACAGGAUUAGAUACCCUGGUAUUCCACGCCGUAAACGAUGAUGGCUAACCGCCGGCGACACACUGUCGGUGGCCAAGUGAAAGCGAUAAGCCAUCCACCUGGGGAGUACGUCGGCAACGAUGCAACUCAAAGGAAUUGACGG